Molecule: small nuclear RNA, 196 nt
Organism: Molossus molossus (Pallas's mastiff bat)
Lineage: Eukaryota; Metazoa; Chordata; Mammalia; Chiroptera; Molossidae
Product: U2 spliceosomal RNA
Exons: 1
Source: RefSeq, a predicted model, not a curated record
AUCGCUUCUUGGCCUUUUGGCUAAGAUCAAGUGUAGUAUCUGUUCUUAUCAGUUAAUAUCUGAUACGUCCUCUAUCCGAGGACACUAUAUUAAAUGGAUUUUUGGAGCAGGGAGAUAGAAUAGGAGCUUGCUCCAUCCACUCCAAAUAUAAAAAAAAAACCACUACACACUCUACGCUAGAUGUUGUGGAUGACAU